Molecule: non-coding RNA, 556 nt
Organism: Durio zibethinus
Lineage: Eukaryota; Viridiplantae; Streptophyta; Magnoliopsida; Malvales; Malvaceae
Source: RefSeq, a predicted model, not a curated record
UAUAUUCUAUAGGACAUAAUAAUAUGAAUUGUUAUCUGUCAGUGGAGCUCAUAAAAAUUGUUCUUAAAAAUUGUUCUUUUUCAUCCUUUAAAGGCUUCUGUUAACAAUCGUCUUGGGUCGGGAACAAAGAAAGUGUGCUGAAGUGAGAUUGUGUAAAAUUUGAGCUUCCCAUUGCCCAUGGGCCUGCCUGGGCAUAAGCCACAUAGGCUUGAAAUGAUGGUCCAAUCUCUUGCUUUAUCCAUAAGGUGGUACAUCAGUUAUACCACCAGUUGCAGUUGAUGGAUCCCAUCCCGGUGGCUUUAUGUUUGGCCAAUCCCCACGACACCCUAACCUUAUAUAAAGGCUCUUCUUACCUUCAAGAAAACAAAGCAGAAAACAAUAAUGAGCCACAGGACUAGUUCUGCUACAUUACAUGGUAGAAAACAUUGCAAAAGUAGAUGAAGAGAGGAUGCUGUCUCACAGUUAUUCUAAGAUACCUGGAAGUAUCUUGUCUGAUAGAAUUAACUGUUUGAGGGCACUCAAGGAUGCCUGAGCUACACUUUUGGCAUGGUCAGCA